CAUGAACAUAGACACAUGCAGAGGCUGCAGGAAUUCAGGCCAAUUGUGAUACUCUGUGAUACUCACAAAUUUGGGUCACUCUCUCAAUUAGUUUAGCUCCUCAUCUGUGUGAGUACAGAAACAAAAGCUACUUGGAGGCCUUGUGGGUUGGCAGAGCAUCUUAAAAUACCCUCCUAAAGAGGCAGAGCUGCAAAUUCAAAACAGACUUUCAAAAUAAACUCAGCAGGGCAGCACUCCGGGGGUGCUUCCAGAGCCAGCCCCCACCUCCACCCCCAGUUCUCAGUUCUAGGUAUCUGAAACUGCAGUACCCUUAGCUGUUACAAUCCUCCUCUCCCCCAGGAGCCUGAUGCUCCCUGGAGGAAUCAAUCAUUCUGCAAUACAUCUGAGAUUUCUACCAGUCCAGAUGCAAGCUUUCACAAACCCAACACACCCGCCGUCUUCUUCUAGAGCUGUUCAGAGAAUUCCACUUCUAGUCCUCAUGAAUCUGGCAAUUGAGACCUUGGAGAAGCUUGGUAAAUGGCUCUGAGACUAAGGAGAAACUAUAUGCUCUGCAAUUCUGAAGCUGCUCUUGUCAGACGGUAGGUUUAUGUUGUAUCAGAGCACAUGACAGUGGCCUCUCUCUCUCUCUCUCUCUGUCUCUCUGUCUGUCUCUCUCUCUCUCUCUCUCUCUGUCUCUCUCUCUCUCUCUUUCUCCAAAGUGACCAUAUCCAACUGGGAAAGGCUAGAAACUCUAACCUAUUCCCCAAUAUGAAGAUGUAUGUGUUUCUGGUCAUGUGACUGCACUUAAAUUCCCUGGAGAGUCUCUGAUUCUACUGCAGUCUACAAUUCAUGCACUCAGCUGUUCAGCUGAAAGAAACAGGGCUGGGUGGGAAGACUGAUUUCUUAAUAUAUAAAUAAAAUGAAGUUUUUCUACUGUCCUAGACUGGGAAAUUUUACCAACAACUAAGUAUUUGCCUAUGUUUCUCCAGAAUGCUACUGAGACACUGAUUUAUCUUCUACAGGCAUGUUUUAGAUUGUGCUGAAAUGGCUAAGUUUUCCCUAAGUUGGCAAAAAAAGAAAUCCAUUCCAUGUGGCUGGAAUCAGGCCCACUGAGAUUUUCACCAAGGGCAAAAAUACCUUGCAUGUGUAUCAAAAGCAGUUGGAUGAAACUGGCUCUAUUUUUCUCCAGCAACACCAUCAGACUAACGGC
Molecule: long non-coding RNA, 1189 nt
Filed under: Callithrix jacchus (white-tufted-ear marmoset)
Lineage: Eukaryota; Metazoa; Chordata; Mammalia; Primates; Cebidae
Description: lncRNA (ENSCJAG00000086485.1)
Source: RNAcentral